AGUGAACGCUGGCGGCAGGCCUAAUACAUGCAAGUCGAACGGCAGCACAGCAGAGCUUGCUCUGUGGGUGGCGAGUGGCGGACGGGUGAGGAAUACGUGGGAAUCUGCCCAGUCGUGGGGGAUAACGUAGGGAAACUUACGCUAAUACCGCAUGCGCCCUUCGGGGGAAAGCCGGGGACCUUCGGGCCUGGCGCGAUUGGAUGAGCCCACGUCGGAUUAGCUAGUUGGCGGGGUAAAGGCCCACCAAGGCGACGAUCCGUAGCUGGUCUGAGAGGAUGAUCAGCCACACUGGAACUGAGACACGGUCCAGACUCCUACGGGAGGCAGCAGUAGGGAAUAUUGGACAAUGGGCGCAAGCCUGAUCCAGCCAUGCCGCGUGAGUGAAGAAGG
Molecule: ribosomal RNA, 390 nt
Filed under: uncultured bacterium
Lineage: Bacteria
Description: bacterial SSU rRNA
Rfam family: Bacterial small subunit ribosomal RNA
Source: RNAcentral